UCUGGGCUCAUGGUUAAGAUACACUGAUUUAGUGUGGAGAAAAUUAAGGUGUCUAUUGUCAAAGAAUACUUUGACAAUAUAAAUUGCUCAUUACUAGGGCAGCUGCCGACUUUGUUGUGGUACUGUUACUGGGGUGCUACAGUUAGAGGAUGACAACAGAAACACGCAACAAGUUAAAGGAUGAUAGUAGAAAACACACAAUGAGUUGUCAGGGGCACUGAGCAAAUCACAGAGAUGAAAGAAGCAUUCAAGUAAUCUGCUAUUUUUUUAAUAAACACGUGCAUGUAUGUGAAACGAAGGAAGAGAAAAGACCAAAUUGAUCACAAACUAUUCACAGGGAUAGACGAGCUCUAUUCGGAAGCUUCAGGGAGUAAGCACUAUCCAAUAGAGCCUGGGAAACCUCCUGUGUAGUCAUCUUCAGUGAUGGAGAGAUCAACACCCCCCUGCUCGUUAUGGGCCUGCUUUACAAGAAUAUGCCCUUUUUACAAGGACGCUAAUUCUUAGCAGCGUGAAUGAGUUCUUUUCAGGUGUAUUGGAAAGACAGUUGAUCUUCUUCCUGUGUUUGUUCUUCCAAGAAGGAAAAGGACUGCCUGCCUGGUAACAUAUAAUGACUCAUCAAGUUAUGAAGACAACAGAACAAAAAGCUGCCAAGGAAUGUGCGACAUUUAUUCUGUUUCACCCAAAUGCAUAAACAACAUAGCCUAGCCUUAUCUGAGAGAUACAGAGCACUUAUUUUGUUUAACUAAAACAAUCACAUUCAUAAUAAAGAACCACUUAUAUUUUUGAUUAAGUAAAUA
Protopterus annectens (West African lungfish) is the source of this 797-nucleotide long non-coding RNA. RefSeq lists it as uncharacterized. The transcript has 3 exons. Lineage: Eukaryota; Metazoa; Chordata; Ceratodontiformes; Protopteridae. The record is from RefSeq and is a predicted model, not a curated record.